This 263-nucleotide ribosomal RNA is filed under the name uncultured bacterium. RNAcentral describes it as "partial 16S ribosomal RNA". It matches the Rfam family "Bacterial small subunit ribosomal RNA", at positions 793 to 1055 of the family's 1533-position model. The record is from RNAcentral.
GUCCAUACCGUAAACGAUGAUUACUAGGUGUGGGGGUCUGACCCCUCCGUGCCGGAGUUAACACAAUAAGUAAUCCACCUGGGGAGUACGGCCGCAAGGUUGAAACUCAAAGGAAUUGACGGGGCCCGCACAAGCAGUGGAGUAUGUGGUUUAAUUCGAAGCAACGCGAAGAACCUUACCAGGUCUUGACAUCCAACUAACGAAGUAGAGAUACAUCAGGUGCCCUUCGGGGAAAGUUGAGACAGGUGGUGCAUGGUUGUCGU